UAGUGUUACAGUGCUUUGAGAAUUUGUCUAGCAGGCCUUUGGGUCUUUACUGGAAAACUCCUAA
Pan troglodytes (chimpanzee) is the source of this 64-nucleotide non-coding RNA. The record is from Rfam. NCBI's taxonomy places the organism in Eukaryota, Metazoa, Chordata, Mammalia, Primates, Hominidae.